CCACACCCAGGUCUGCCUGGUAUGUAGCCACAACAUAGGGUUGGUGGAGCUACAGUCUAGGUAGAGAGAAGAAGGCCCUGUCUGUGGCCAGGGUCGGGGCUGAGUCUGUAACUGGGAAGGCACCCCAGGGAGGAGCAUGCUCAGCAGGAAGUGGACAGAGUAGGGGCAUGGAGGAAGGAGCACCAGCCAUGUGUCUCCAGUCAGGAAAGCCUCCUGGAGGAGGCAGUGAAGGGGGAAGAGGAGGAGAGGAGGGCCUUGCCAGCAGCCUGAGCACUGGUAAUGAAGCAGGUAGGCCCAGCUGUUUCCAGAUGCACAUGGUCUGCACCCAGGAGGGUCAGAGCAUGAAGCUGGAGGGGCAGGCAGGGAGACACUGAGAGGGGGGCACCAUGGCAUCAGAAAAGAGCCCCUGGCAGCUGUGCGAGGAUGGCCUCGGAGUUCUGAUUGGUUCCGCUGGCUGUUCUUAAGGAAAGAGAUGAGGAUCUAAAUUACUAUAGAAACUGAGGGGUGGAGAGGAAUGAGGAAGAGGGGAUGAAGCCUUAAGACACCAAAGCGUUAGAACUCACCAGAUGAGAGGGCCAAUAAGAUGCCCUGGACAGAAGGAGUGGUCAGGGGUGGCUCAGCCUCUGGUGUGGAUGAUGGCUUACAGUGUGACUGUGAGCUAAGAUGUAGCAUUCAAGUGGAGGAAUGUGCUGGUGAGAGAAAGACAAGUUUGGUUUGGGACAAAUGAGUGUGAGGGCCCCAGCCUCUUGGCUGGCCAGUGAACACUUCCAAGAACCUUCAUACUUAAUACCUCUAUCACUCCUCCACUCAACAGAAGGUUGGAACAGCAUUCUACAGCAUUCCAGGAUGUGGAGGGGGCAGCAGUGUUUGUGUGCAGAGUGGCGAGGCCGACCUCCGAUGAGCUUCCCGUAGGAAGGGUGCAGUGGGGGGUGCUCACCCUGCCCAGGGAUGCUAUCUGCUCCAGGACUUGUUUAUCAGCCCACGGGGUGAUCGGCAUGACAUCAAUGGAUAUGCCAGGCUGCAGGCUACAGUGCCGAGAAGGAGAAGACGGAGGCGGUGGUGAUGUCACCCAAGGAAUUAAGUAAGCAGGGGAGCUGAUAACAUCGUCCAGCCAGGCUCACUGUGGGCAGGGUGACUCACUGAAGACGGCCUGCGAUCGCCAGGUGAUUGUUGUUGUGCCCAGCCUGUGGGGCUGGGGAGGAGGAAGGGGGGCAGGCCACAGAGCUGUGACAAGUUCCUCACCGAGGCCCCUGCUCAGGGGAGAGACCUCAGUACACAGUGUCCUCCACCUCUGAGCCCGGGGCUGGCUCAGGAAACAGCCCCCCUCUGCCUGUGCGAUUAUCUUUGUCCACAGUGUUUGGUGUGUGUUUGUGGGGUGUGUCAGGUGAUUUUCCUGCCCGAAGCCUGCUGGGUGCUCCAGGUACUAGCGAUUGCUCACAGCAGAGCAGUAGCCCCCUCCCUGGUUGGACAACUGUCUGUGGAGACAACACCGGAUGGCAAACUGCUAACCGCAACCACGUGGCGUCCUUACAGAGGGAACAGCCUGUUCCUCCCGCUGAGGGCACCUGCAGACCUGCCCCAUUCAUGGCUCCCUUCUCCCUCAGUCCCUGCUGAGGGGAUGGUCCCUUCCCACCCUUAAGGGCACCAUGGACUGUUGUCCAAGUUGAGAACUGUCCAACUGCAGGGGGCACCAUUCACUUGGCAGUCUUCGUGCCAGAUGCUAUGGCUGUCCACAGUGGCCCUGCCCCUUCCCUUUUGUAAAUUACUUCUCAGUUCCCUCCUCCACCAGAAUUAUCACACCAAACUUUCCCCCAUGUAUGCUUGCUUCUUUAUCACCUGACACUCUCAUUCAUUCAUUCCACAAAAAAAUUGUGGCGUUUGUGCAAGGUACUAUUCUAGGCAAGGGAACAAGACAGACCCUCCUGGAGCUCAUGGAGUUCAUAUUCUAGCAUGGGGGAGAACCAAUAAAUAAAUAAUUGGAUACAUAAAACUGCAAGUGACAAUAAGUGCUACAAAGAAAACUAAAGCCAGCCCAGGAUAGAGGGUGAUAGUGCCCUACUUCAGCUAGGACUGCCAGAAAGGCUUCUCUGUGGGGAGGUGGCCUCUGAGGGGAGACCUGGAGGCAGCAAAGGAGGAAGCCUUCCCGGCAGAGCCCCUCCCAUUGGCACCCAAUGCCAAAAGAAGUUUCUAUAACCCGUCCUGGUUCUGCCAGGAGCCUGCGGCAUGGCCUGGGGCGCUCAAUUCCCAGUGCAGGGUGUCUAUUUCUUCCCCCAACAAACAAGAGGCCUAGUCGCAUAGUCUCUUCCAGCACAAAUUCACCCACCUGUCGGCUUGAGGAACAUGACAGGAAUCUGGGUUGGAAGGCCAACUCAGCCACCCACAAGCUGUGUCAUCUUGAGCAGGUUACUCAGCCUCUCUGAGCCAGUUUUCUUUCCUAUAAAAUGUCAGGGAAUUGUGGAGGAUUAAAUGAGGUUGUGGAACUGAAACCACCUGGCACAGGUGCUAUCUAUGAAGUGAGUGCUUCAUAGAUAUUUUCUGGGGCUGCGCCUAGGUGAGGUGGGGCGAGGUGGGGCCUGGGGGUGCGGUGAGGAGGCGGCUUCCACUGGAGGAGCCUGGAGAAGGCAAUGCUGACCCCAAGACGCAAAGCUCUGGUGGCUGCCCAGGUCUGCAGUGG
RNAcentral lists this long non-coding RNA (2674 nucleotides) under Homo sapiens (human). RNAcentral describes it as "HSALNT0030831". The record is from RNAcentral. Lineage: Eukaryota; Metazoa; Chordata; Mammalia; Primates; Hominidae.